Molecule: ribosomal RNA, 253 nt
Filed under: uncultured bacterium
Lineage: Bacteria
Description: partial 16S ribosomal RNA
Rfam family: Bacterial small subunit ribosomal RNA
Source: RNAcentral
UACGUAGGGUGCGAGCGUUAAUCGGAAUUACUGGGCGUAAAGCGUGCGCAGGCGGUUCGUUAAGUUCGUUGUGAAAGCCCCGGGCUCAACCUGGGAACUGCAAUGGAAACUGGCGGGCUUGAGUGUGGCAGAGGGGGGUGGAAUUCCGCGUGUAGCAGUGAAAUGCGUAGAGAUGUGGAGGAACACCGAUGGCGAAGGCAGCCCCCUGGGUCAAGAUUGACGCUCAUGCACGAAAGCCAGGGGAGCAAACGGG